Molecule: ribosomal RNA, 663 nt
Filed under: Bacillus thuringiensis
Lineage: Bacteria; Bacillati; Bacillota; Bacilli; Caryophanales; Bacillaceae
Description: bacterial SSU rRNA
Rfam family: Bacterial small subunit ribosomal RNA
Source: RNAcentral
UACAUGCAGUCGAGCGAAUGGAUUAAGAGCUUGCUCUUAUGAAGUUAGCGGCGGACGGGUGAGUAACACGUGGGUAACCUGCCCAUAAGACUGGGAUAACUCCGGGAAACCGGGGCUAAUACCGGAUAACAUUUUGAACCGCAUGGUUCGAAAUUGAAAGGCGGCUUCGGCUGUCACUUAUGGAUGGACCCGCGUCGCAUUAGCUAGUUGGUGAGGUAACGGCUCACCAAGGCAACGAUGCGUAGCCGACCUGAGAGGGUGAUCGGCCACACUGGGACUGAGACACGGCCCAGACUCCUACGGGAGGCAGCAGUAGGGAAUCUUCCGCAAUGGACGAAAGUCUGACGGAGCAACGCCGCGUGAGUGAUGAAGGCUUUCGGGUCGUAAAACUCUGUUGUUAGGGAAGAACAAGUGCUAGUUGAAUAAGCUGGCACCUUGACGGUACCUAACCAGAAAGCCACGGCUAACUACGUGCCAGCAGCCGCGGUAAUACGUAGGUGGCAAGCGUUAUCCGGAAUUAUUGGGCGUAAAGCGCGCGCAGGUGGUUUCUUAAGUCUGAUGUGAAAGCCCACGGCUCAACCGUGGAGGGUCAUUGGAAACUGGGAGACUUGAGUGCAGAAGAUGAAAGUGGAAUUCCAUGUGUAGCGGUGAAAUGCCUAAGAU